UACAGAGGUCCCGAGCGUUGUUCGGAUUCAUUGGGCGUAAAGGGUGCGUAGGCGGCGCGGUGAGUCGGGUGUGAAAUCUCGGAGCUUAACUCCGAAACUGCAUUCGAUACUGCCGUGCUUGAGGACUGGAGAGGAGACUGGAAUUUACGGUGUAGCGGUGAAAUGCGUAGAUAUCGUAAGGAAGACCGGUGGCGAAGGCGGGUCUCUGGACAGUUCCUGACGCUGAGGCACGAAGGCCAGGGGAGCAAACGGG
RNAcentral lists this ribosomal RNA (253 nucleotides) under uncultured bacterium. RNAcentral's name for it is "partial 16S ribosomal RNA". It matches the Rfam family "Bacterial small subunit ribosomal RNA", at positions 524 to 776 of the family's 1533-position model. The record is from RNAcentral.